Molecule: long non-coding RNA, 2332 nt
Organism: Piliocolobus tephrosceles (Ugandan red Colobus)
Lineage: Eukaryota; Metazoa; Chordata; Mammalia; Primates; Cercopithecidae
Exons: 4
Source: RefSeq, a predicted model, not a curated record
GGCACCUGUGCUGUGCUGCUGAUGCAGUGACCCCGGCCGGCACGUGUGCUGUGCUGCUGAUGCAGUGGCCCCGCCUCUGGCACGUGUGCUGUGCUGCUGAUGCAGUGCCUCCCGCCGGCACGUGUGCUGUGCUGCUGAGGACACUGUGCACCCAGACGGCCACAUCCUGGGUUUUCUUUUCAGAGACGGGAGUUCACAGCGAAGUGGAGGCCAUAGGGGAAGGGUGAACAGAUCCUGCAGUUGCUGCCGCCACAGCUGUGAUUAGGGCAAGUCUCAGCUCCCUGGAGUGAGUGCUCCUGUGGGCCAUCAGGUGACGUGGGGACAGAUGCCACAGAGGAGUGCAGAGGAGGGACCAGGGAGCGCUGUGGGAUCCAGGCUCUCUGAGAAGGUAUUUCUACCCAGGCGUAAUCACCAAGUGCUGGAAGCGACACAAGCGUCCUUCGAUGGUGCUGUUGAAAUUGUGCUUGUGUGGUAGUUGAGGGGAGAGCUGAGGGCCCUCACUGAUGAAGCCAUCAAGGGCACCCCCAGGAGAAGCCAUUCACGGGCUGCAUACCAGAGGCCGGGAAAAAAUGAAAAGAUCUGUUGGCAUCAACUUCUCCUCCAAGAAACCACAGGGUUUCCUACUAAUAUGGCCACCAGCUCCUCGCUCUCCCGGUAUCUCGGCCACCAGCUUCUCGCUGUCCAGGUAUCUCAGCCACAGAGACGCUGACUCAGUCCUGGACACACGUCUGAAGUUGACAUUGUGUCUUAGGUGGAAACAGCCAUUUGCAUUUGCGUAGGUGUGGAUUUGCUUGCACCCAAGGCCUCCAUCACAGGGCAUGGCUCCUGACAUCCAGCUCGAAAAGGGCAGAGAAUCCUUAGGGCUGCUGGUCCCACGUGGCGGACCCUGGUGCCUGCCUUUAUCAUAGCUUCGGGCCACAGCUCACCUUCUCACUAGACCGUGAGCUCGUGGGGCUCAGACCCCUUCUGCUCUCACCUCAGAACCCACCAGCAAAGGCCUGCGGCCGAGCCAGUCACUGUGAGCCAGAGUGGGAUCAAAGCAGGUAUGAAAGGAGCGUCUGCGUUAGUAGCGCAGUCUGCGCAGUUUCACUAGUUGGGAAUCUUUAUUCUGAGGAGUUAAUCCAAGACGUGUUUUCUAAGCAGCUCAGGACAAGGACUGUGGCCCAGGUGUUUCUCUCACCACAGAGACGACUCUGACACGCACUCGGGCAUUGCGUGAACGCUUCGCGAACACGUGCACCCGGCCACUGACCCGUCGCACAGCGAGCCCUGAUCGGCGCUGCAGGAAAAUGGCACUUGGGGAGGGAAGAAGCCCCAUGGCCAGGAGCAGCCUGGGCCAUGUGUGUUACACACAGCAAUAGACGGAUGGUCCUGCCCCCUCUCUGUCCACCACUUUCCAGCCAGGAGACACGGAUCAAGUCCCUUCCCCGCUCUGGGCCUUCGUGUACAACACAGGGCAGCUGACCUGUGACGGCCAGGCUCUUUCAGGUCUGGGCGGUUCCUGUGCCCCAGGACCAGGUGUUCAGGCCCAUCAGGCCCCGUCCUCUUCCCAGGGCAGAGCCAGUUCUGUCUGUGGGCUCCCUGGGAAGAAUGCUGGGAGUCAGGGUUAGUGAGGACAGGGCACGAGCUGCACCCCGAGGGCCGCUGGAGGCCACAGAGUCCUGUCCACACCGUGACUGUGACCCAGGGCCCAUCCACAGGUUUCCUUUGUUCUGGUGAGCAGGCCACAGAAACUGGCUCCAGCAGCCAGCGGAGCUGCAGAGUGAUCAGGCGACUGCUAUUGAGGGCGAUUCCGCUGCCGCCACUGCCCUGAGAGACCCUCUCAAGGCCUAGGGACCCCUCAGCCCGCACGGGAGGCUGGCUCACUGGCACGGCCAAAAGCGACUUUGUUUUGUCUUAGCCAGCUGCUUGUGCUCGUGUAUUUAUACACAGGAGAAAGUGCAGUUGGCCGUGGGAGAAGUUCAUUUUGUUUAAUUUUUAAUCAGAGACCACUGCAGAGUCGCACUCGACAAAUUCGAGUGCAGAGGAGGGCUCGUUGCAUGGGGCUCCUAAGCUCGCGGACAGAGCCCCAGGCCGCUGCCUGACCCUCCCAGCUGGAGUCAGGCCAGACUCCAGCAACACUUCCGGAAUGCUCCACACAGCCGGUGUCCUGCUUCCCCACACUGGGAGCACCUCACGCAAGUGUCCUCGGUGAUUCUGCAUCUUUAAUCCUCCCCAUUUUUUGUUUGUCUGUUUUUGAGACGGAGUCUCCCUCUGUCGCCCAAGCUGGAGUGCAAUAGUGCAAUCUCGGCUCACUGCAACCUCCACCUCCCAGGUUCAAGCGAUUCUCAUG